RNAcentral lists this long non-coding RNA (630 nucleotides) under Mytilus galloprovincialis (Mediterranean mussel). Lineage: Eukaryota; Metazoa; Mollusca; Bivalvia; Mytilida; Mytilidae. The record is from RNAcentral.
AAAGUCUUUUGUAUAUUGAGGUUUUAGUAUUCAGUUCACGACCAAACAUCUCGACUCUGCGACAUUUUGAGUGCCUCACAGUUGGAUAAUCUUUAUGCUAUCGAAAGCAGACGAAAAUGUUCACGGUCCUAGUCCUAAUGGUUUUCACAACACAAGAGAGCCAACAUGUCUUCCAUUGUCUGAUUCAAUCUCCCAACCACACCAUCACUUCCCGGGUGCAUUGGUGUGGUCCUAGUUUUAUCUAUCUCAAGAAUGUGGGACUAUUGAUUAGUACCCUGGUCAAAAUGUAUCAUUUUUUUAAAACAACAAACAAGACCACGAAAAAUUCUUGACUAAAACACCAGCCACUAAUAUCAUCUAUAGACCUUUCAACGGAAAGCGUCCAUUCACUUGGUAAAAUACCCGCCAUAGACAAGAAGAUAAAUGUUACUGAUCUUGGUUAUUGGUUAAGGUCCAUGUACAUUGAGAGGAGCACCACCUACACAAGUUUGCAGAUGAGUCCUAGCUCCUCUAUUUGUUCGUUUCUUUGAUGAGAGCAUUUGUAACAUAUUCGACAAUACUGUUUCACUUCUUGGCGCAUGCCACACCAAAUAAACUACUUUUGAUUUAACUAACUGUUUGCAGCACCAA